AACGAACGCUGGCGGCAGGCCUAACACAUGCAAGUCGAACGCCCCGCAAGGGGAGUGGCAGACGGGUGGUUAACACGUGGGGACCUUCCCUAUAGUACGGAAUAGCCCAGGGAAACUUGGAGUAAUACCGUAUACGCCCGAAAGGGGAAAGAAUUUCGCUAUAGGAUGGGCCCGCGUAGGAUUAGCUAGUUGGUGAGGUAAUGGCUCACCAAGGCGACGAUCCUUAGCUGGUUAGAGAGAACGACCAGCCACACUGGGACUGAGACACGGCCCAGACUCCUACGGGAGGGAGCAGAGGGGGAUAUUGGAGAAUGGGCGCAAGGCUGAUCCAGCCAGGCCGCGUGAGUGAUGAAGGCCUUAGGGUUGUAAAGCGCUUUUGGCGGGGACGAUAAUGACGGUACCCGCAGAAUAAGUCCCGGCUAACUUCGUG
RNAcentral lists this ribosomal RNA (430 nucleotides) under uncultured bacterium. RNAcentral describes it as "partial 16S ribosomal RNA". It matches the Rfam family "Bacterial small subunit ribosomal RNA", at positions 29 to 507 of the family's 1533-position model. The record is from RNAcentral.